Molecule: ribosomal RNA, 505 nt
Filed under: uncultured bacterium
Lineage: Bacteria
Description: partial 16S ribosomal RNA
Rfam family: Bacterial small subunit ribosomal RNA
Source: RNAcentral
GACGAACGCUGGCGGCGUGCCUAAUACAUGCAAGUAGAACGCACAGUUUAUACCGUAGCUUGCUACACCAUAGACUGUGAGUUGCGAACGGGUGAGUAACGCGUAGGUAACCUGCCUGGUAGCGGGGGAUAACUAUUGGAAACGAUAGCUAAUACCGCAUAAUAUUAAUUAUUGCAUGAUAAUUAAUGGAAAGGGGCAAUUGAACCACUACCAGAUGGACCUGCGUUGUAUUAGCUGGUAGGGGAGGUAACGGCUCACCUAGGCGACGAUACAUAGCCGACCUGCGAGGGUGGUCGGCCGCCCUGGGACGGUGACACGCCCCAGACUCCCUCGGGAGGCAGCCGUAGGCCAUCUUCGGCAAUCGGCGGAAGUCUGACCGCGCUGCGCCGAGUGAGUGAAGAAGGUUUUCGGGUCGGAAAGCUCGGUUGUAAGGGAAGAACGGGUGUGAGAGUGGAAAGUUCACACUGUGACGGUAUCUUACCAGAAAGAGACGGCUAACUACGUG